Malaclemys terrapin pileata is the source of this 568-nucleotide long non-coding RNA. RefSeq lists it as uncharacterized. Lineage: Eukaryota; Metazoa; Chordata; Testudines; Emydidae. The record is from RefSeq and is a predicted model, not a curated record. The transcript is spliced from 3 exons.
GAGGUGGUGGGACUUAACGGGACUGUAAGUCUGUUAAUUAUUGUAAGAAAAUCUUGUCCCCUCCAGCAAGAGCACAUUGACGGCAGCACUGCUCACUGACCUGGGACAUCCUGCUCCGAGUCACACAUCACCCCUGCCAGUACGUCGUUCCAGGAUGGCUGAUGCAGGCAUGGAGGGGUUCGGAGCCACACACACCAAUUUGGACUGAAGCUGGAGCGGCUUCAGAAGGCGGCUGGUUGCUGGGUUCUGUGCAAUGCCGACCUGAAAUGGCCCUUGUACGGCAGGGAGCCAGCUGGCUUGGGAGGUUGAUUUAUUUUGACAGAAAUUCAGCUCGUCUACACUCCUUUUCCCGGAGAGAUUCUUACAGGUAACUCUAGACUCAGCUCUGCCACUGCCUCGCCGGAUAACCUUGGGCAAGUCACUUCCUCACCCCGUGCCUCAGUUUCCCCAGCUGUACAAUGGAGCUAAUGAUACUGACCUCCUUUGUCCAGCACUUUGGAUCUGCUGUUGCAAAGCGAUGUAUAAGAGCUAGGAUUACUAUCAAUAAAGUUAUGACAUCAAAGCACCA